This 1344-nucleotide long non-coding RNA is filed under the name Oryctolagus cuniculus (rabbit). Its description in RNAcentral is "lncRNA (ENSOCUG00000035938.1)". Lineage: Eukaryota; Metazoa; Chordata; Mammalia; Lagomorpha; Leporidae. The record is from RNAcentral.
AUGGAGCCAAGACAGGAAGUCAGAAACCCCCCAGAGACCAGGCAGGGACAGGAGCCAGGAGAGGGGCAAGCGCCUGCUUCAAACCGGAGUCCUGAAAGAUGCAGCCGAGGGAGGACAGGUGGCCAGCCGCCCCCAUCCCUGUGUGCGAGCCGCACCUGCCCCAGUGCGCGAGCCACACCUGCCCCGCCCCUGUGCGCGAGCCACACCUGCCCCGCCCUUGUGCGCAAGCCGCACCUGCCCCUGUGGGCUUGUGAAUCGCCUGGGGAGGUGCUCCAGCGCAGGCGCCCACGCAGAGGGGCUGUGGUGAGGCGCCGCGGUGGGGAUGCCGAGGCGGCAGCUGACCACUGCCUGUUGAGGAAUUCAGGUCUGAGUGUGGGCUCGCCCCGGGCAGCUCCUCACGUGGGAGCCAGCCACCCUCAACCCAGCAGGCGAGAGAAGGCGGAUGCAUUAUUCCAGGCUCAGCUCACACAGAGCGUUUACUCCAGACGCACCUGCUGGGGUGGACGACGGCACCUGACGGAGUUCAUCUCCAGUGUCCCAGAACCGCCGAGGUGGCCCCGGGAGAACUGCCUGCAGGGCCACCCAGAGCCAAGCGUGAGCUCUUCUUCUUUUAAAGACUUAUUUAUUUAUUUAACAGAGUUACAGAGAAGGAGGGAGGGGGAGAUCUUCCAUCUGUUGGUUGACUCCCCAAAUGGCUGUAGGAGCUGGAGCUCCUACAAAAAACAGGAGCCAGGGACUCCAUCCAGCUCUCCCACGUGGGUGCAGGGGCCCAAGCACUUGGGCCGUCUUCUGCUCUCCCAGGUACAUGAGCAGAGAGUUGGAUCAGAAGUGGAGCAGCCAGGACUUGAACCGGCGCCCAUGUGGGAUGGCAGGAUGCGACUUACCCCGCUGUGCCGCAGUGCCUGGCCGCAGUGUGAGCGCAUCUCAGACGUUCCGGGGCUGGAACCCGAGGGCGUGCAGAGCUCAGUGUGUCUCAGUGGAGCGGAAGCAGGAACGAAAUCCCUCGGAACCCUGCUGCCUGAAGCACGCCCCUUUCUUACUAGGUGUGAUUCCCGGCAGACGCCCUGGGGAGGGGGCGUGUUUCUCCCUCCUGCUGCACCUGCUCCAUGGGCAGAGCUGCACACGGCGAGACGAGGACAUCCUGGCGCCGGGCGGGCACGUCGAGACCCCGCGGGCACACACAGGAGGGGGAGUGGGCCACCGUGGCAUACCCCCCGCCUUCUGGUGGGUUCUAGCCUGUGGGUGUCGAGCGAGGACCUGGGCGAUAGCCAUGAGAGCACCCGUCUGCCAGUCGCCUGCCGUGUUGCGGGUGUGGGCUUCCCAAGCGCGUUCAGCCAGCUCUGA